CCUACGGGAGGCAGCAGUAGGGAAUCUUCCGCAAUGGACGCAAGUCUGACGGAGCAACGCCGCGUGAGUGAUGAAGGUUUUCGGAUCGUAAAGCUCUGUUGCCCUAGACGAACAGCAGGGGGAGUCACUGCCCUUUGUGUGACGGUAUAGGAGAAGAAAGCCCCGGCUAACUACGUGCCAGCAGCCGCGGUAAUACGUAGGGGGCAAGCGUUGUCCGGAAUUAUUGGGCGUAAAGCGCGCGCAGGCGGCUGUUUAAGUCUGACGUUUAAGCCCGGGGCUCAACCCCGGUUCGCGUUGGAAACUGGACGGCUUGAGUGCAGGAGAGGAAAGCGGAAUUCCACGUGUAGCGGUGAAAUGCGUAGGGAUGUGGAGGAACACCAGUGGCGAAGGCGGCUUUCUGGCCUGUAACUGACGCUGAGGCGCGAAAGCGUGGGGAGCAAACAGGAUUAGAUACCCUGGUAGUCCACGCCGUAAACGAUGAGUGCUAGGUGUUGGGGGUUUCGAUACCCUCGGGUGCCGAAGUCAACACAGUUAAGCACUCCGCCUGGGGGAGUACGC
RNAcentral lists this ribosomal RNA (558 nucleotides) under uncultured bacterium. RNAcentral's name for it is "bacterial SSU rRNA". It matches the Rfam family "Bacterial small subunit ribosomal RNA", at positions 338 to 885 of the family's 1533-position model. The record is from RNAcentral.